CUGCCUUUCGUGGGUUGAAGACCGCAUUAGGGCGCCCCCUAGUGGACAUUUUAUUGUUUGUUUUGAUGACGUUAAAAGGAAAGGGGGAAGGGAGGUGUAAAUCCAAGAUGGUGGAACGCAGCACCAAGCAGUUGUGCACUAAGCUGAUUAUUAUCUUUCACGUUGUGUUUCGGACGAGAUUUGUUUCCUACGACGGCUAAAGUGAUGGCAGUGGUUGGAGGCCACUCUGCAAUAAACAACUGAAAA
This is a long non-coding RNA of Fundulus heteroclitus (mummichog), 246 nucleotides long. RefSeq lists it as uncharacterized. The record is from RefSeq and is a predicted model, not a curated record. NCBI's taxonomy places the organism in Eukaryota, Metazoa, Chordata, Actinopteri, Cyprinodontiformes, Fundulidae. The transcript is spliced from 2 exons.